This 370-nucleotide ribosomal RNA is filed under the name uncultured bacterium. Its description in RNAcentral is "bacterial SSU rRNA". It matches the Rfam family "Bacterial small subunit ribosomal RNA", at positions 434 to 793 of the family's 1533-position model. The record is from RNAcentral.
CAGUCGUGAGGAAGGUGGUAGUGUUAAUAGCACUAUCAUUUGACGUUAGCGACAGAAGAAGCACCGGCUAACUCCGUGCCAGCAGCCGCGGUAAUACGGAGGGUGCGAGCGUUAAUCGGAAUUACUGGGCGUAAAGCGCAUGCAGGUGGUUUGUUAAGUUCAGAUGUGAAAGACCCGGGGCGUCAACCUCGGAAUAGCAUUUGAAACUAGGCAAACUAGAGUACUGUAGAGGGGGGUAGGAAUUUCAGGUGUAGCGGUGAAAUGCGUAGAGAUCUGAAGGAAUACCGGUGGCGAAGGCGGCCCCCUCGGACAGAUACUGACACUCAGAUGCGAAAGCGUGGGGAGCAAACAGGAUUAGAUACCCUGGUAG